RNAcentral lists this long non-coding RNA (4520 nucleotides) under Homo sapiens (human). Its description in RNAcentral is "HSALNT0084570". Lineage: Eukaryota; Metazoa; Chordata; Mammalia; Primates; Hominidae. The record is from RNAcentral.
CAAAAGAGGAGUGAGAGGGACUUUUUGCCAUUUCUGCCAUGUGAGGAUGCAGCAAGAAGAUACCAUCUCUGAGAAAGAGGUCCUUACCAGACAACGAAUCUGCUGCUGCUUUGAUGUUGGGCUUCCCAAACUCCACAACUGUUGUGUCCACUGAGGAAUGAUGAGGUUCAAAAACUUGGAGAGGAGAGCUUUAUUUCUCAAAAAUGAUUGCAGCCUGCAAGGUGGCCAUUCUGACAGGCUAGGAAAGUCCUUAUAGACUGACUCAGACAGAGGGAGACCUUCAUCAGUCAGCCUUGGGAGAGAUUCUGGGAGCUUCUCAAACCCUUCCAUGGAUGUGUAUUUUCUGAACGAAUGCAUAGAGAGACAGAUAAAUGGAGACAGAGACAGAGAUAAAAUAUGUCUCUGGAAUACGAAGAAAUCAUCUCUAAGGAGAGGAGGAGAAGGUCUCUAAUCUGGAAUAUAAACCAGCGGUUCCAGGGGAGUCAAGAAAGGAGUUUGUUAUGCUACAAAGUAAGCAACUGUCCCUGGAGCAACGUGGAGUUUCUAACUUGCCAGGCAUGCCUACCAUUAAACCAUUCUUUAACCCAGGUUGAGAGUCACUUUUGCUCAGAAUAUAACAUGCUCUGACUGUGCGGAAAUGUGUAAAGAUUCAUGGAGAAUUUUUUUCCCAGCAGAAAUGUCAUCUCAUAUUACCUCCAGCUGUGGACAAUUGGCAACAUUGUAAGGUGCUGAAAUAGCAUCAUUUUACUCAACCUUGAGGGAGGGAGGUCUGGCUCCUGUGCCACCUCCUUCACUUUUGCCCACAUUUAUCCAGUUUAGUUUAUACUGUUGCCUGGCAGGAGGAAGAGUUUUGAGCUCAAUCUUCGGCUACACCACAAAGAUGAGGACUAACAAAGUCACUCUGCUGGCUUGCAUUCCUAGCACAGGUGAGAGGAGUCCAUCAAACUCAGUUUGCUUUUACUAGAGAUUCCUGGACUUCACACUUCUUGCUUCUCCUCCCUCCACCACCAGCGUAUUAGUCCUUUGCACGCUGCUGAUAAAGACAAAUCCAAGACUGGGUAUAUCAUAAAGAAAAAGAGGCUUCAUGGACUCAAAGUUCCACGUGGCUGGGGAGGCCUCACCAUCAUGGCAGAAGGUGAAAGGCACAUCUUACAUGAUGGUGGGGAAGAGAGAAUGAGAGCCAAGCCAAAGGGGAGACCCCUUAUGAAAUCAUCAGAUCUUGUGAGACUUAUUCACUACCACGAGAACAGUAUGGGGGAAACUACUCCCAUGAUUCAAUUAUCUCCCACUAGCUCCCUCCCACAACACGUGGGAAUCAUGGGAGCUGCAAUUCAAGAUGAGAUUUGGGUGGGGACACAGCAAAACCAUAUCAGGUAACAAUUUCACCUGUGUUGCUAUGAUCUUUGUCCUGGUCUGACAGGGUAGCAGCACACUGCCAUUCUUGCCUUUCUGUGACUUGUGACCUGUCCUCCACACGGCAUCCAGAACUCUCCAUUGAGGCUCUAAGUUGGGUAAGUUAGGUCACAACUUGCCCCUGGUCAAAACUCUCCGAAGUCUUCCCCGCGACUUAUAAUACAAAGAGACCUUUCUGUAACUCAAAUGCUCUACAUUAUCCAUCCCUUGACUGUCACAUUGGCUUUCCUUUUUCCAUUCUUUAAAUUUGCUAAGAAUAAUCUUACUCCAGGCUUUUGCAGUUGCUGUGCCCUCUGCCUCAAAGACACAUCUCCAAGAUAUUCAUAAAGUGUUCUCUCUCACUUUAUUCCAGUCGCUAUUCAAAUGACAUCUACUUAGAGAAGUGUCUCCUGAACAAUCCAUCAAAAAUAGCACUCUUACAUCUCUAGCCCCAUUUCCUUCUUUAUUUUUCCUCAGAGACCUUACCACUUACAAUCUGACACCACAAUACGGAAAAGUCGGUUUCUGUGUUUACUGUUGUUGUCCUCCUCCAGAAUGUCAGUGCUACAAGGGCAGUGACACUUCCUCACCCUCAGACCCUGGAGCAUGGCCUGCCCCUGAGAAGGCAUUUGAUGAGCAAGUGAAUGAAGGAAUGAACAGUCAAUCAGCCGGCGCCGGCAAGGGGAGUAAAACUGCAGGGUGGCUGACUAAAGGAGAAUGAAAUUCUCAAAUACCACUACAAAAAAUAGAUGGUAGCUGUCUGGGGCUGAGAUGUGUCCUGCCAAAUUCAUAGGUUAAAAUCCUAAGCACUGGUACCUCAGAAUGUGAUUGUGUUUGGAGAUAAAGCCUUUACGUAGAUAAUUAUAUUAAAAUAAAGCUGUGAGUAUGGGCCCUAAUCCAAUAAGACUGGUGUUCUAGAAAAAGACAGCUUGGAUGCACAGAGACACCAGGGAUGCACAUGCCUAGAAGGAAGACCAUGGAAGGACACGUGGAGAAGGCUCCUCUGCAAACCAAGGAGCGAGGCCUCAAGAGAAUCAGACCUGCCAACAUCUUGAUCUUGGACUUCUAGCCUCCAGAACUGUGAGAAACACAUUUCUGUUGUUUAAGCCACCCAGUCUGUGGUGUUUUGUUGUGGCAGCCCUAGAAACUAACCUGGUAGCUACAUUGGAUAAACCAAGAAUUAGACAAGAACCUAGUCUAGAAAUACAGAGGUGAACACAGUAAAAGCAGAUGCAGGAAUGAGUUUUCUGCAUAGUAAGCUGAAUGACCUGAAAUCUAAAAUCUAGGUGAAAAAACCAUCUCGUAAAUUAGAGAAACAAAGUUCUGAUAAAAUUUUAUCAGGAAAUACAUGUAAUAUAAGUUUCAAGUAAGAGGCCUAUGAAUUACCUGUUGUUCAAUUUUUGUUGGGAGGUAGAAUAGAGUUUAACUUUUUUUUUUUUUUUUUUUUAAACACAGGGUCUCACCCUGUCAGCCAGGCUGGAGUGUAGUGGUGUGAUCUUGGCUCACUGCAGUCUCAAAUUCAUAGGCUCAAGCAAUUCUCCCACCUCAGCCUCCUGGGUAGCUGGGACUACAGGCACAUGCCACCAUGCCCAGCUAAUUUUUUGUAUAUUUUUGUAGAUAUGGGGUCUCACUAGGUUGCCCAGGCUGAUCUUGAACUCCCAGGCUCAAGGUUUUAGCUUUAAAUAAAGGGAACUGAAUUAAAUAAACACAAUUUGGUUGUGAUUGACUAUUCAUGAUUUAGAGCAACAAUUAUUGUAAAUUCAUUUAUUAAAGUUGAAAUUUAAGUUCAUUUCCAUGUCUUUAGUAUACUGAGGAAUAAACAAUAUAGGUAAAUAAGAGUGAUUUAUGCUUAAUGAAAAACAACACUAAGUCAUAUAAAAAGAGUAAGAACUAUGAAACUUGGGUUUAAUGAAUAGAUGUCAACCUGAACAGAGGUCUCUUAAUAAUUUGUACAAAGUCAUGAAUUUUUAAGAAUAAAAUUAAAACUAAUUUGUUCAAAAAGUAAUUUAGGGGUAUUUAAUUAUGUUCAGCCAAAAUUUCCAGAGAAGAACACAGAGCUGCAAGAUGGUAACAAAUAAUGAAAAGCAAAGUGACCAGAGGGCUUGAAUUUUCUGUGCAGCUGAGGAUGGCAGUGCUGAGUCACAAUAAGGAAGACUCCAAAUGAAGUUCCAGGUGGUGUCAGAGGUAUUAUUGGCACAGCAGACCGUAAUUGGUGCUUCAGCUUCUCGUUCCAUGAUACUAAGAUGAAGGCAGCUUUCCAGGCAGGUGGGGAAUCUGCUGGUGUCUCCGAUACUCGCCUUUGAAUAAAAUUAGCAGCAGCUUGCAGUAGUUAGAAAGGCCAAUCUUCUCUUGUAGGCACUGAAGGAAAUUUCCCUGAACAGAUUGAACCAAGUGGGAAGCAACUGAUUCCAGGAACACCCACGUUCCCAAGGCCUGGGCGCGGCCAGUGCAGCUCUGGUACAUGGAUCCCAGUUCAGAAUCCACAGCCUCCUAACCUGGAUUUAUUAUACCAUUGUUUUAACCUAAGGAAGGACUUUGCAUUUCUCUCCAUUGAAUUUCAUCUUGUUAAUUUUAGACCACUGCGCUAUCUCCUGAAAUACGUUCUGAGACUUUAUGCUGUCUUUCAAUUCUUCAACUUUCUUUUCCCAAACUGAUAUCAUGUGCCUCCUUUUAAAUGUAGAGGCUUAAAAUACAAAGCCAGGAAAGGCUACUUACAAAUUACUGAGUCCUCUUUUCAGGUUGAUACUUAUCCAUUAAACAACCUGCCUAUCCAUUGCACUGCAAAAUCAUCCUGCUUUCUUAUUUUACAUUCUUUUUUGUCUUCAAGUGUUUUGCAAAAUAUUGUAUUUAUACAUCCUGCAAAAAUAAAGCUAGAAAUGUCCCAGAAAAGUAUCUUGAUCUCUACUACAGCAGGGACUCUGUUACAAAAGCAGAUGGGAAUCUUGAUGUUGCAUAUUGUUAAGAGAGAAACUUGGGGCUAUAACACCCACACCCCCCUCUACCUCUGCAACGAGGAAGGUGUUGAGAGACCAAAUAAUUACUUGGGAAAGUCCAACUUGACAAUUACAUAAAGUUUAUUAGGACUUACAUACAGGGUGCUCCUGGAUAACAGCAGGGCAACGCUAGAG